This 301-nucleotide ribosomal RNA is filed under the name uncultured bacterium. RNAcentral's name for it is "partial 16S ribosomal RNA". It matches the Rfam family "Bacterial small subunit ribosomal RNA", at positions 509 to 807 of the family's 1533-position model. The record is from RNAcentral.
CAGUCGCCACGGUAAUACGUAGGGUGCAAGCGUUAAUCGGAAUUACUGGGCGUAAAGCGUGCGCAGGCGGUCCGCUAAGACAGAUGUGAAAUCCCCGGGCUUAACCUGGGAACUGCAUUUGUGACUGGCGGGCUAGAGUAUGGCAGAGGGGGGUAGAAUUCCACGUGUAGCAGUGGAAUGCGUAGAGAUGUGGAGGAAUACCGAUGGCGAAGGCAGCCCCCUGGGCCAAUACUGACGCUCAUGCACGAAAGCGUGGGGAGCAAACAGGAUUAGAUACCCGUGUAGUCCCUGUCUCUUAUAC